CCUACGGGUGGCAGCAGUAGGGAAUUUUCCACAAUGGGCGAAAGCCUGAUGGAGCAACGCCGCGUGGGUGAAGAAGGUCUUCGGAUCGUAAAACCCUGUUGUUAGAGAAGAAAGUGCGGGAGAGUAACUGUUCACGUUUCGACGUUAUCUAACCAGAAAGCCACGGCUAACUACGUGCCAGCAGCCGCGGUAAUACGUAGGUGGCAAGCGUUAUCCGGAUUUAUUGGGCGUAAGGGUAACGCAGGCGGUCUUGUAAGUCUGAUGUGAAAGACGUCGGCUUAACCGGAGUAGUGCAUUGGAAACUGGGAGACUUGAGUGCAGUAGAGGAGAGUGGAACGCCAUGUGUAGCGGGGAAAUGCGUAGAUAUAUGGAAGAACACCAGUGGCGAAGGCGGCUCUCUGGUCUGUAACUGACGCUGAGGUUCGAAAGCGUGGGUAGCAAACAGGAUUAGAUACCCGUGUAGUC
Molecule: ribosomal RNA, 465 nt
Filed under: uncultured bacterium
Lineage: Bacteria
Description: partial 16S ribosomal RNA
Rfam family: Bacterial small subunit ribosomal RNA
Source: RNAcentral